Molecule: ribosomal RNA, 301 nt
Filed under: uncultured bacterium
Lineage: Bacteria
Description: bacterial SSU rRNA
Rfam family: Bacterial small subunit ribosomal RNA
Source: RNAcentral
GUGCCAGCAGCCGCGGUAAUACGUAGGGUGCGAGCGUUAAUCGGAAUUACUGGGCGUAAAGCGCACGUAGGUGGUUUGGUAAGUCGGAUGUGAAAGCCCCGGGCUCAACCUGGGAAUUGCAUUCGAUACUGCAUGGCUAGAGUAUGGCAGAGGGGGGUAGAAUUCCCGGUGUAGCGGUGAAAUGCGUAGAUAUCGGGAGGAAUACCAGUGGCGAAGGCGGCCCCCUGGGCCAAUACUGACACUGAGGUGCGAAAGCGUGGGUUGCAAACAGGAUUAGAUACCCUGGUAGUCCACGCCCUAA